This 248-nucleotide unclassified non-coding RNA is filed under the name Geastrum sp. Its description in RNAcentral is "partial internal transcribed spacer region". The stretch from base 1 to 46 matches the Rfam family "Eukaryotic small subunit ribosomal RNA", at positions 1786 to 1831 of the family's 1831-position model. The record is from RNAcentral. Lineage: Eukaryota; Fungi; Basidiomycota; Agaricomycetes; Geastrales; Geastraceae.
AAGUCGUAACAAGGUUUCCGUAGGUGAACCUGCGGAAGGAUCAUUACUGAAGAUAAGAGAGUUUUGAGACUGCGGCUCUGCCGUGUGCUCGACUCUCACUCUUUAAUUCCACAUACACCUUUGUGCACCAUGGGGAGAUUGCGGUUUCCCCCCUUUUCACAUAAACACAAAGUUAUAUGCAUGUCUUGUAAUAUUGCUCUACGGAGUUAAAUAUAUAACAACUUUCAACAACGGAUCUCUUGGCUUUC